UACAAUGGCAUAUACAAAGAGAAGCGACCUCGCGAGAGCAAGCGGACCUCAUAAAGUAUGUCGUAGUCCGGAUUGGAGUCUGCAACUCGACUCCAUGAAGUCGGAAUCGCUAGUAAUCGUGGAUCAGAAUGCCACGGUGAAUACGUUCCCGGGCCUUGUACACACCGCCCGUCACACCAUGGGAGUGGGUUGCAAAAGAAGUAGGUAGCUUAACCUUCGGGAGGGCGCUUACCACUUUGUGAUUCAUGACUGGGG
RNAcentral lists this ribosomal RNA (255 nucleotides) under uncultured bacterium. RNAcentral's name for it is "partial 16S ribosomal RNA". It matches the Rfam family "Bacterial small subunit ribosomal RNA", at positions 1226 to 1480 of the family's 1533-position model. The record is from RNAcentral.